UGGGGAAUUUUGGACAAUGGGGGCAACCCUGAUCCAGCCAUCCCGCGUGUGCGAUGAAGGCCUUCGGGUUGUAAAGCACUUUUGGCAGGGAAGAAACAGCCUGGGAUAAUACCCCGGGCGACUGACGGUACCUGCAGAAUAAGCACCGGCUAACUACGUGCCAGCAGCCGCGGUAAUACGUAGGGUGCAAGCGUUAAUCGGAAUUACUGGGCGUAAAGCGUGCGCAGGCGGUUCGGAAAGAAAGGUGUGAAUCCCAGGGCUUAACCUUGGAACUGCACUUUUAACUACCGAGCUAGAGUACGUCAGAGGGGGGUAGAAUUCCACGUGUAGCAGUGAAAUGCGUAGAGAUGUGGAGGAAUACCGAUUGCGAAGGCAGCCCCCUGGGAUGAUACUGACGCUCAUGCACGAAAGCGUGGGGAGCAAACAGGAUUAGAUACCCUGGUAGUCCACGCCCUAAACGAUGUCAACUAGCUGUUGGGGUUUAUUAACCUUAGUAGCGCAGCUAACGCGUGAAGUUGACCGCCUGGGGAGUACGGUCGCAAGAUU
RNAcentral lists this ribosomal RNA (546 nucleotides) under uncultured bacterium. RNAcentral describes it as "partial 16S ribosomal RNA". It matches the Rfam family "Bacterial small subunit ribosomal RNA", at positions 355 to 895 of the family's 1533-position model. The record is from RNAcentral.